GGGGCCAUAGCUCAGUUGGGAGAGCGCCAGAUUGAUAAUCUGGAGGGCAGGGGUUCGAUCCCCCUUGGCUAUUC
Molecule: transfer RNA, 74 nt
Filed under: Magnetospirillum gryphiswaldense
Lineage: Bacteria; Pseudomonadati; Pseudomonadota; Alphaproteobacteria; Rhodospirillales; Rhodospirillaceae
Also listed under: 1 other name
Description: tRNA-Ile
Rfam family: tRNA
About the family: Transfer RNA (tRNA) molecules are approximately 80 nucleotides in length. Their secondary structure includes four short double-helical elements and three loops (D, anti-codon, and T loops). Further hydrogen bonds mediate the characteristic L-shaped molecular structure. tRNAs have two regions of fundamental functional importance: the anti-codon, which is responsible for specific mRNA codon recognition, and the 3' end, to which the tRNAs corresponding amino acid is attached (by aminoacyl-tRNA synthetases). tRNAs cope with the degeneracy of the genetic code in two manners: having more than one tRNA (with a specific anti-codon) for a particular amino acid; and 'wobble' base-pairing, i.e. permitting non-standard base-pairing at the 3rd anti-codon position.
Source: RNAcentral